This 5454-nucleotide long non-coding RNA is filed under the name Brassica napus (rape). Its description in RNAcentral is "long non-coding RNA (BNAP_LNC002297)". The record is from RNAcentral. Lineage: Eukaryota; Viridiplantae; Streptophyta; Magnoliopsida; Brassicales; Brassicaceae.
GGGGAUCAAAGACAAAAGAUGAUGCUGAAAAUGCAACACCGAACUGGGGAACAAAACCAGCUCAAAAUGAUUCUGUUGUCAUAGAAAACGGCGAGCCUUCUUCUGACGUUUGGGGACCCAAAGCUGUUUCAGACAAACCUUGGGGUAAAAAGAACUCUGAAACUGAGCCAGCUCCUGCUGCAUGGGGUAAAACGAACUCUGAAAGUGAAUCAGCUGCUGCUGCUUGGGGCUCUACUAACAAAAAGAACACGGGAACUGAAUCAGACGCUGCUGGUUGGGGCUCUACUAACAAAAAGAACCCGGAAACUGAAUCAGAUGCUGGUGCUUGGGGUUCUGGGGCCAAAAACAAAGAAACAGAACCAGCUCCUGCUGCAUGGGGUUCCUGGGGCAAAAAGAGCUCAGAAGCUGUAUCAGGUGGUGCGGAUUGGGGUAAUAGGGGCAAACGGGUUUCUGAAACUGAAUCAGGUGCUGGUGGUUGGGCUUCCCGGAACCCGAGCUUGGAAACUCAGUCAGGUGGUGCUACUUGGGGUUCCAGGGAUAAAUCUAAAUUUGAAACUGAAUCAGGUGGUGCUGCUUGGGGCUCGCAGGCUAAAAAUAAUUUUGAGAGUGAGUCAGGCUCGGGUGCUGCUGCUUGGGGUAAGAAGAAACCAGAAACUGAAUCAGGUGGUGCUGCUUGGGGUUCUCAGGCUAAAAACAAAUCUGAGAUUGAGUCAGGCUCAGGUGCCGCUGCUUGGGGUACUUGGGACAAGAAGAAAUCAGAAACCGAAUCAGGUGGUGGUGCUUGGGGUUCUCAGGCUAAAAAGAACUCUGAAACUGAGUCAGGCGCAUGUGCUUCUACUUGGGGUGCUUGGGACAAGAAGAAACCAGAAACUGAAUCAGGUGGUGAUGGUGCUGCUUGGGGUUCUCAGGCCAAAAAUAAUUCUGAAACUGAGUCAGGCUCAGGUGCUGCUGCUUGGGGUAAGAAGAAACCAGAAACUGAAUCAGGUGGUGGUGCUGCUUGGGGUUCUCAGGCCAAAAAGAACUCUGAAAGUCAAUUAGGUGCUGCUAAUUGGGGUUCUAAGGACACAAACAAUUCGGAAAAUGGAUCAGAUUCUGCUGCUUGGGGUAAAAAGAAGAAUUCAGAAGCUGAACCAACUUCUGUUGCUUGGUGAGAGUUAGCGUCCACAACAUUGGAUAUCUACAAGAGUUGGUGGACAACAAGAUGUGCUUAAGCUAUACCCAAGGUUCUACUACCUAUUCUCUGAGGGACGGUUCCAAGGGGCAUACAGUCCUUAAACCCGGGCAGAUUGUGCAUCGCAGGGUCAUGGAUGGAGAUGUUGUGUUUAUCAACCGUCCUCCCACAACACAUAAGCAUUCUCUGCAAGCACUUCGAGUGUAUGUUCAUGAAGACAACACGGUGAAGAUCAAUCCCCUGAUGUGUAGCCCUCUCAGUGCUGAUUUUGAUGGUGAUUGUGUCCAUCUGUUCUACCCCCAGUCUCUCACAGCUAAGGCAGAGGUACUGGAGCUCUUUUCAGUGGAUAAGCAACUUCGCAGCUCACAUACUGGGCAGCUGAUUCUGCAGCUGGGUUUGGAUUCUUUGCUGUCUCUGAGGGUUAUGAUGGAGCAGGUGUUUUUGGACAAAGCAUCUGCUCAACAGUUAGCUAUGUAUGGCUCUCGAUCUCUCCCACCACCAGCUGUAGUGAAGUCCAGUAAAUCUGGCCCGGCUUGGACAUUUUUCCAGAUAUUGCAGCUUGCCUUUCCUGAGCGUCUUAGUUGCAGAGGGGACGGGUUCAUAGUUGGUGGAAGUGAUUUGCUGUCCUUUGAUUUUGGGGUUGAUGCGUUGGCGUCUAUAAUCAAUGGAAUUGUAACCGCAAUCAUGGUGGAGAAGGGUCCAAAGGAAGCACUGGCAUUCUUUGAUUCACUGCAGCCGCUACUGAUGGAACAUCUAGAUCCUCAGGGAUUUAGUUUAAGUCUGGAAGACUUGUCCAUGUCUAGGGAAGACAUGGGAGUUAUUCACAAUCUCAUCGUCCGGGAGAUUUCUCCUAUGGUGUCUAGGUUGAGGUUAUCGUAUGAGGACGAACUCCAACUAGAGAACAGCAUCCAGAAAGUGAAGGAAGUGGCUGCUAAUUUCAUGCUGAAGUCGUAUUCGAUGAGGAACUUGAUUGACAUCAAGAGCAACUCAGCAAUCAACAAGCUGGUGCAGCAGAUUGGCUUCCUGGGUCUUCAGCUUUCAGACAAGAAGAAGUUGUACACGAAGACUCUGGUGGAAGACAUGGCUCAGUUUUAUAAGAAAAAGUAUGUCAGUACUUCUUCCUCUGGAGAUUUUGGAAUUGUGAAGGGCUGCUUUUUUCACGGACUUGAUCCUUAUGAAGAGAUGGCUCAUUCAGUUGCGGCAAGGGAGGUAAUUGUCCGCUCUUCAAGGGGAUUAGCUGAGCCUGGUACACUCUUCAAGAAUCUGAUGGCUGUUCUGCGAGACAUAGUCAUUACCAACGAUGGAACUGUAAGAAAUACAUGCAGUAACUCCAUCGUGCAGUUCAAGUAUGAGCUGAGUUCUGACAAUGAGAAUCAAGGUUUAUUUGAAGCGGGAGACCCUGUUGGAGUAUUGGCAGCAACCGCCAUGUCAAAUCCCGCCUAUAAAGCGGUGCUUGAUUCUUCCCCAAAUAGCAAUUCUUCCUGGGAGCUAAUGAAGGUAAAGUGUUCUUGGUGCUGUCUUCUCAAUAAAGCAUUGUUCUUCUGUAUUGUUGUAUGCUUAUACUGCUUUCUGUUUUUGUUCUUUUCCCAGGAAGUUCUACUCUGCAAAGUCAACUUCCAAAACACUACCAAUGAUCGGCGUGUGAUUCUUUAUCUGAAUGAAUGCCGCUGUGGGAAAAAGUACUGCCAGGAGAAUUCUGCAUACACAGUUAGGAACAAGCUGAAGAAAGUUAGUCUGAAAGAUACUGCAGUGGAGUUUCUAGUCGAGUAAGUACUGGUCUUAGUAAAUUAUGUUGUUCGUUUUAGUGUUUUUUUUUUUGCUUUUACUUAUCCUCUUUGCGUUGGUCUAUGUCUUUACUUGCAUGCAGAUACAGAAAGCAACAAGCGAUUUCAGAAAUUUUUGGAAUGGAUAUAUGCCUACAUGGCCAUAUUCAUCUUAAUAAGGUUUGAAUUCUAAUCUCUGUACUGUUAAAUCUAUCUGGAAGACUCUACCUGCCAUUGAAUCUUUUUAAUUCUUGCUUGUAAUUGGUGUUUUGGUUUACUAGACAUUGUUGGAAGGGUGGAACAUCAGCAUGCAGGACAUACUUCAAAGGUGCGAGGAUGCAAUCAACUCACUAGUCCAAAAGAAGAAGAAGAAAGCUGAGGACUUUAAGAAAAUGAAUUUGUCUGUCAGGUAUGUCCAUGAUAUGCUUUUCCUAUGAACGUCGCCUCUGGUUGAAUUAUUGAUGUUGGUUUCUCGCUUACUAGUUCUUUCUGUCCAUCAUCUUUGUUCUUUGUCUUAUUGUGUAUACUUGUCUAGCUUCUUAAACUUUGUGGUCUGGUUAUGUUUAAUUUCUUCUCGAAUGAACAGUGAAUGCUGCUCUUUCCGAGGUCCAGGCUCGAGCAAAGAUUCUGAUAUGCCGUGCUUGAUGUUUUCCUCCUACAAUGCCACUGAUCCUGAUCUGGAAAGAACUCUGGAUGUUCUCUGCAAUACAAUAUAUCCAGUUCUGCUCGAAACAGUGAUCAAAGGUACUUGAAUAAUGCUUUCAUUAUAACUGUCAGCUACUUUGAUUUAUCGAACGGGGUAGAGUCUUUCUUUUGAAAUCUUUCUAGUAAGAUUCAUUGCCUGACGGAUAAAAGAUUUAAAAUCAUUUUCCUCAACUAGUCUGAAUGAGUUGCCUUACACGUUGUAGUUGUGCUAUCAAGCUUAUGUACAGUAGACUAAUGUUUUUUUAUAAUACUUCUGUCUCUAGGCGAUCCACGGAUUGCCUCAGCAAAUAUAAUCUGGAAUAGUCCAGAAACGACAACCUGGAUCCGGAGUCUUCAUGCAUCCCGCCGAGGAGAAUGGGUAUUGGAUGUCACGGUUGAAAAAUCUGAUGUCAAGCAAAGUGGUGAUGCAUGGAGGGUUGUGAUUGACUCAUGUCUUUCAGUUCUUCAUCUGAUAGACACAAAGCGGUCAAUCCCAUAUUCCAUAAAGCAAGUGCAAGAGCUGCUUGGUUUGUCCUGCGCCUUUGAGCAAGCUGUUCAGGUACUCAAUUACUUUACUCCUGAUCCGUGCACUUAAAGCAUGAUACUUUGUCAUAUUUAACGUAUGGUAUCAUAUGUGCUCAUUGUUUUGCAGCGUCUCUCAGCUUCAGUGAGAAAGGUCUCCAAAGGAGUUCUGAAAGAACAUAUCAUUCUCGUGGCAAACAACAUGACCUGUUCAGGGGAUAUGCUAGGUUUCAAUUCUGGAGGUUACAAGGCUUUGACUCGGUCCUUGAACAUCAAGGCCCCAUUCACAGAAGCAACUCUUAUUGUUAGUAUGCUUUAAUGUCUAAUUACAAAUUAUUUUCUAUACUGGCCAUCCAUACUAACAUUAGUUACUUCUUAUGCUUUUAGGCGCCAAGGAAAUGUUUCGAGAAAGCGGCUGAGAAAUGUCAUAAAGAUUCUCUAUCAACAGUCGUUGGGUCUUGUUCUUGGGGAAAACGCGUGGAUGUUGGUACAGGUUCGCAGUUUGAGCUUCUAUGGAACAAAAAAGAGGUAAGACAUUCUCACCAGAAAUUGAGUUUUGUCUUGUAAAUUUUUUUCGUGCAAUCUGAUGUUCUUUAUUUGUCAACCUAUCUGCAGACUGGUCUGGAGAAUGAUGAUGAAACUGAUGUAUUCAGCUUUCUCCAGAUGGUAAGAUCCACCAAAACUGCAGAUGCAUACGUUUCUUCCCCUGGUUUUGAUGUCACAGAGGAAGAAAUGGCUGAAUGGGCUGAGUCUCCUGAGCGAGACUCUGCUCUUGGAGAGCCCAAGUUUGAUGACAGUGCUGAGUUUCAAAAUCUACUUGAUGAAGGCAAGGCAUCGGAAUCCAAGUGGGACAACGGUUCUCUUUGGGAGAAUGGUUGCAGUAGUGGCUCAGAAUGGGGAGUCUCGAAAAACGCAGGUGGUGAGGAGAACACGCAGUCUGGUUGGGGAAAGGCUGCAAACGUUGAGAAUGAAGAUGCUUCGUCUGGUUGGAACAGUAAAAAAGAUGCUCAAGAAGCUACCAAUACAGAUUCAUGGGGCGCUUGGGGAUCAAAGACCAAAGAUGAUGCUGAAAAUGCAACACCGAACUGGGGAACAAAACCAGCUCAAAAUGAUUCUGUUGUCAUAGAAAACGGUGAGCCUUCUUCUGACGUUUGGGGACCCAAAGCUGUUUCAGACAAACCUUGGGGUAAAAAGAACUCUGAAACUGAGCCAGCUCCUGCUGCAUGGGGUAAAACGAACUCUGAAAGUGAAUCAGCUGCUGCUGCUUGGGGCUCUACUAACAAAAAGAACACGGGAACUGAAUCAGACGCUGCU